ACGAACGCUGGCGGCAUGCCUAACACAUGCCAGUCGAACGAGACCUUCGGGUCUAGUGGCGCCCGGGUGCGUAACGCGUGGGAACCUGCCCUUAGGUUCGGAAUAACUCCCCGAAAGGGGUGCUAAUACCGGAUAAUGUCUUCGGACCAAAGAUUUAUCGCCUUUGGAUGGGCCCGCGUUGGAUUAGCUAGUUGGUAGGGUAAAAGCCUACCAAGGCGACGAUCCAUAGCUGGUCUGAGAGGAUGAUCAGCCACACUGGGACUGAGACACGGCCCAGACUCCUACGGGAGGCAGCAGUGGGGAAUAUUGGACAAUGGGCGAAAGCCUGAUCCAGCAAUGCCGCGUGAGUGAUGAAGGCCUUAGGGUUGUAAAGCUCUUUUACCCGGGAUGAUAAUGACAGUACCGGGAGAAUAAGCUCCGGCUAACUCCGUG
This 432-nucleotide ribosomal RNA is filed under the name uncultured bacterium. RNAcentral's name for it is "partial 16S ribosomal RNA". It matches the Rfam family "Bacterial small subunit ribosomal RNA", at positions 29 to 507 of the family's 1533-position model. The record is from RNAcentral.